CAUGGGAGCAAAGCAAAGGGUUUAUUUGAGUCCCCUGCAAGGAAUAACCUGUAAUAUGAUAAUCAGGCUCAAUGAGCUAGUUUCAUUUAUAUAGCACAGGGCAGGUUAGCAGAACUGAAAUAUGCUUGCAAGGGAUGAUCAGAUCAUUAGGGUUAGAGCUUGGGAUAAGAAGCAUUAGAAUUUUUUAUUGGUUCAGUGCCAAGUAGAUACUUGGGAUUUUAAGUCAGAUCAAAAUCAUGAUUUGCAUAAAGAAAAAUCUAGUAGUUCAGAAAGUCGUGGCAGUAAACUAUUAGAAAAAGGAGAAGAAUAUAGAUUUGAAUGUGAUCAUUUUUGCUCAAAAAAUUUGAUCUCUUCUGCAAAGUGUCAGUAGAUAAGAAGAACAAGGGCAGUAAGGAAAGCAGGAGGAACAUAGAUGGAGGGAUUGGUUGAAUAGAUCUAAAUAGCCAGACCAAACUUUGCAGUAAAUUUCUAUCUUCAAAAAUAAGUCAAAAACAUGCCCCUCAAUAGAAUCAUAACCAAGGUUUUGAAUACCGUGGGAUGGGGUCGUCCUAGUUUUCUAUCAAAUGGGAUGCCCCACGUACCGACACCCAAAACAGUGGAUUACCUGUCUUGGUCCAUUUCCCAACCUAUUCUGUCCCAGCACUCAGGAUGAUAGGAUGCCCCGUUGUCUCACCAAUACUUGAAACCUUGAUCAUAACCCCAUAUUCGAUAAUCCAAAAUGCACAAUCUGACCAAUUAAAGUUCUAGUAGGACUCUACAUUAUAAAGGAACAAAAGCAGCACUUAACCCAUCAACCUAUACCAUUCUUAUCUGGUCAUCUGGCACCUAAACCUUGUCUAAUAAGUAAACAAAUAAAUGGAAGAGAGAAAAUACAACCUGGCUAAUCAAAGAUCUUAACACUUCCCAGUUGACCUUUAGAACUAUAAAACAUCAUUUAAAAGAUUAAAUCCUAGAUGACACCCAGGCAGACAUAUAAAUAGAUAAAAAUAUGUUUAUUUAUGUGCAUUUAUUGUACGCAAACAUAUAGGCAUACACCUACCUACACAUCUCAUGUGUUGUUUAAGUUGGAGCUUCAAAACAAGGAUUGCUAAACUAUAGUCUUUGAACCCGUUCUUGAAUCAACCCUGUAUGCUCCUGUACUCAUUUCUUGUGCCAUAUUAAGUUAUGUGCAACAUAAAAUUUAUCCAUUUUCCAAUUAAAUUUCUAGUAUUCCAUGCUUUGUACCCACUCCUGACUUCUUAGGGCAGGGUGUCCACUUCUAUCUCCUCUUCCUCUACCUUCAGCUAGGAUAUGUAGUUUAUACUACUGGCUUCCGCUCAACUCUUGGAUCCCUUUUGAUGCUCAACAAUGGUUGUAAGUUUCUCAAGUAGCAUGCCCCCUUUUGAUGCCACAUGUAUGCACACAGAAACUUCACAAUUGCAAGCGCACAGACACACAAACAACAUCCAUCCACAUGCGGAAAGAGAGAGAGAGAGGGACA
Molecule: long non-coding RNA, 1480 nt
Filed under: Phoenix dactylifera (date palm)
Lineage: Eukaryota; Viridiplantae; Streptophyta; Magnoliopsida; Arecales; Arecaceae
Description: long non-coding RNA (PDAC_LNC005777)
Source: RNAcentral